Molecule: long non-coding RNA, 507 nt
Filed under: Homo sapiens (human)
Lineage: Eukaryota; Metazoa; Chordata; Mammalia; Primates; Hominidae
Description: novel transcript
Source: RNAcentral
UUCAUCAUCCUCUCCAGCUUCCAGGCUUGGCCACGGGAGGCAGCUUUGUGGAUCUUCCUGAGAUCCCCAUGGUGAAUCACCUCUGAUCCUCAAUUUUAUAUACUACACCUGGUGGUGGCUCAGUGUUCACUCCGAAAAAUGAAAAAUUGCCCAUUUUUGUGAAAAAGUUCUACUGAUAUGUGAAGGCUGAGUUCUAUUGGAACCACCAAGUCAUGACACCAGAAGGGAAAAGAAGUAGUUCAUCAUGAGGUGGAAAUAUCUCUCUCUGUGGUCCAAGCUGGAGUGCAGUGGCGGGAUCUCGGCUCACUUCAACCUCUACCUCCCGAGUUCAAGCAAAUCUCCUGCCUCAGCCUCAUGAGUAGCUGGGAUUACAGGCAUCCACCACCAGAGACGGCUAAUUUUUUCUUUGUAUACUUUUAUUUAAUUCGGCUUAGGUUACUUGUUUAUUAGUAGUAGUUUUGCAUCUAUGGGAUUGUUGUAUAAAAUAAAUGGUUUAAAUAUGUAGAA